CAUAUUGCACAACGCUUUCUUUCCACUCUCCUUGUGUUUCAGGUCUUGGAUCUCUUCCUGGGCUCCUGCACUCUGAUAUCCAUCUCACCCGCUUGUCUUGGAUCUCUUCCUGGGCUCCUGCACUCUGAUAUCCAUCUCACCCGCUUGUCUUGGAUCUCUUCCUGGGCUCCUGCACACUGAUAUCCAUCUCACCCGCUUCUAAGUUUCCGUCACAGCCGGCGUGGAAACCUGGAGGUUCCCUCCAGAUUGCACAACACUUUCUUUCCAAUCUCCUUAUUUUUCAGGUCUUGGAUCUCUUCCUGGGCUCCUGCACUCUGAUAUCCAUCUCACCCGCUUGUAAGUAUCCAUCACAGCCGGCGUGGAAACCUGGAGGUUCCCUCCAGAUUUCACAACGCUUUCUUUCCAAUCUCCUUAUGUUUCAGGUCUUGGAUCUCUUCCUGGGCUCCUGCACUCUGAUAUCCAUCUCACCCGCUUGUAACUAUCCAUUACAGCCUUCGUGGAAACCUGGAGGUUCCCUCCAGAUUUCACAACGCUGUCUUUCCAAUCGCCUUGUGUUUCAGGUCUUGGAUCUGUUCCUGGGCUCCUGCACUCUGAUAUCCAUCUCACCCGCUUGUAAGUGUCCGUCACAACCAGUGU
Molecule: long non-coding RNA, 636 nt
Organism: Oreochromis aureus
Lineage: Eukaryota; Metazoa; Chordata; Actinopteri; Cichliformes; Cichlidae
Source: Ensembl